AAAUUCCAUUAUAUUGACAAACAAUUCUCGUUUUAAUCUAUUUAGUUCAAUAGACAAAACAUGGUCACAAUACUCAUUGGGGUUUCCAGUUUAAAAACAGUAUCAUAUAUAGACAAGCCUUUGAACAAUAAGAUGAAACAAUUCAAAUUAAAAAUCGAACAGCAUAAAUACACUCAUCAUAGAUACCAGAUAAAGGCAACAGUAGUAUACCGAUGUUCAAACUCAUAAAUCGAUAGGCUAAAACAAAUCCGGGUCAUAAACCAAAACCAGGAUUCAAAUUAAGUAUAUAUUUGCGCCAGACACGAGUUCCGUGUACAAAUGACUCAUCAGUGACGCUCGAAUCUAAAAAAAAAAUAAUUUAAAUGCCAAACAAUAUACAAAGUUUUAAGAGCAUUGAUGACCAACCAUUCCUAAAAGUUUGACCAAAUACAGCUAAGGUAUCUAUCCCUGAGGUUGAAACAAUUAAAAUCUUAUUGUUCAAAUGCGAACGGUUUUCUUUCGAGUCUGGGACAAACAAAUCUUAGUAAAAAUAUUAAACAACACGUUUAAUAAUUUAUUGCGUCCGAAGCGCUUUUGGAAUUACCUUCAUCAGGAACGCUCAAAGCCAAACAUUUG
This 615-nucleotide long non-coding RNA is filed under the name Mytilus galloprovincialis (Mediterranean mussel). Lineage: Eukaryota; Metazoa; Mollusca; Bivalvia; Mytilida; Mytilidae. The record is from RNAcentral.